Molecule: long non-coding RNA, 1568 nt
Organism: Xenia sp. Carnegie-2017
Lineage: Eukaryota; Metazoa; Cnidaria; Anthozoa; Malacalcyonacea; Xeniidae
Exons: 7
Source: RefSeq, a predicted model, not a curated record
CUAGUAUCAAAGAUACGUUAAGAGUUGAAAAAGCUUUUUUAGCGAUAAUAUUGGAAAAUAUGGCGUUUGCAUUGGUGAAUUUUUACAACGAAAAUACAUGGGAUAUCAUUCCAUAUUCUAACAUCAUUUUUUAGGAUGAAAAUAUGUCGAAAGACAAAGAUGAACUUAAAGGAUUCAAAACAUUAGUCAUGUGGAGCGAUGGAAAAACAAAGGGAAACGGCAAGUCGAGGGAAUUUCCUGCAGAGAUAAUAGAGGUUUCAGAUAGUAAAGAUUAUUUGCUCAAGACAAUGAGAAAAGAAGAAACUUUCUCUAUAAAUACUGGCAAAGGGUCUCGCAAAAAAAUUCACAAAGCAAAGUUUACAAUUAAAAGAGCACAGUAUUCCUAAAAAGCUAAAGGCAUCCAGGUCAAAGAAAACAGAGGCUUGCUGCUCAGCCAGCCUUGCUUCACUUAUAAAAGAGUUAUUAACCAAGGAGAGUCAGUCAGAUGAAGGUAGUGCAUUUUGCAAUGAUAAAUGCAAGUAUAAAAAAGAAGCCUUGGAACUCAAAGAGAGGAUUUAGAACUUCAUUAAAAAAGUAAUGAGGAUAUGUGUGUACCUUGGAAGAUUCCGCCAGGUAACUUCCACAAAGAUCAUUUUUGACCAGAACUUCCCUCAGUAAAUCCCCGUCCACCCCAUCCACCACAUCUUUGUCACCCAUUGAAGGUUUGCUUGUGGUGGAGAAUAGAUUCACCCCAGCUUUAUCUGGGAGAAGUAGCUCUUACUCAAACCUUUCAAAUCUUCCAGAAGAAAACCCUUCCCCCAUAACAACUGCUGUGUUUAAGAGCUCUAUCAAUGGGCUAUCAAAUGAAACCAACUAAACUAUGGAAGAAAGCCCUCUGGAUUGCUCAAAUGCAACAACUGAAGAUACUUCUCUCCCCGAAAUGGUCACUUUGGGACCAAAUUUGGUUGUCAAAAUGCAUGUCCUUAAAAGAAUCGUUGCGAAGAAAGUUGGAUCAUAUGUUGCUAACUUAAUGGGGGCAACCUUAUCCCAUGAACACAUGGCUACCCACAGCUACAAGGGCCAAAAAGGGAAAAAUGGUCAGGUCAAGCCUCGGCUUGAUUCCAUAUACACUACCUCUUUAAUUUAGCAUGCAACGAGUGUGAAGUAUUCAAAUAUGCCACGCCAGAUUAUAGAAGAAGAUGUUGUAAAAGCUAUAAAGUUCAAACUUAAUAACGAGGAACAAGCAUGGAAUAAACAACACGAAUCCUGUAAAGAGUAACAUUACCUGUCUAUAGUAUGUUUUUCUAUUAAGUCUAUCCAUGCAACUUAAUGAUAUUUUUCUAUAAAAGAAAAAAAUUGAUGAAUAAGGUAUGUGUGUGUUGAUAUGUCUGUAUAGAAGGAAGUUAAAUUGUUUAUUAUAGCUGUUAUUAGUCGUUCGGUUCAGUUGUUAUAUUUGUAAAAUAUGUGUUAUUAUAUUAGUGCUUGACGAAGCAAACUUACUUGAAAUUGCAAUUGUAAUCAUGUUAUCAUUGAAUGGUUAAAUAUUUAGAUCGUUUAGAAGCAGAAAUACCAUUAUUUUAAUGAUGAAA